GAUGAACGCUGGCGGCGUGCCUAAUACAUGCAAGUCUAGCGAACGGACGAGAAGCUUGCUUCUCUGAUGUUAGCGGCGGACGGGUGAGUAACACGUGGAUAACCUACCUAUAAGACUGGGAUAACUUCGGGAAACCGGAGCUAAUACCGGAUAAUAUUUUGAACCGCAUGGUUCAAAAGUGAAAGACGGUCUUGCGGUCACUUAUAGAUGGAUCCGCGCUGCAUUAGCUAGUUGGUAAGGUAACGGCUUACCAAGGCAACGAUGCAUAGCCGACCUGAGAGGGGGAUCAGCCACACUGGAACUGAGCCACGCUCCAGCCUCCUACGGGUGGCAGCAGUCGGCAAUCUUCCGCAAUGGGCGAAAACCUGACGGAGCAGCCCCGCGUGAGUUCUGAAGGUCUUCGGAUCGUAAAACUCUGUUAUCAGGGAAGAACCUAUGUGUACGUAACUGUGCACAUCUUGACGGUACCUAAUCAGAAAGCCACGGCUAACUACGUG
This 497-nucleotide ribosomal RNA is filed under the name uncultured bacterium. RNAcentral describes it as "partial 16S ribosomal RNA". It matches the Rfam family "Bacterial small subunit ribosomal RNA", at positions 28 to 507 of the family's 1533-position model. The record is from RNAcentral.